Molecule: ribosomal RNA, 486 nt
Filed under: uncultured bacterium
Lineage: Bacteria
Description: partial 16S ribosomal RNA
Rfam family: Bacterial small subunit ribosomal RNA
Source: RNAcentral
GAUGAACGCUAGCGGCAGGCUUAACACAUGCAAGUCGAGGGGCAGCGCGGGAUAGCAAUAUCCUGGCGGCGACCGGCGGAAGGGUGCGUAACGCGUGAGCGACAUGCCCGUUGCCCGGGGACAACCGGUGGAAACGCCGACUAAUCCCCGAUGGGAUACGAUGCUUCAUGGCAUUGUAUUGAAAGUUACGGCGGCGACGGAUUGGCUCGCGUCCGAUUAGCUGGUUGGCGGGGUAACAGCCCACCAAGGCUGCGAUCGGUAGGGGUUCUGAGAGGAAGGCCCCCCACAAUGGGACUGAGACACGGCCCAUACUCCUACGGGAGGCAGCAGUGAGGAAUAUUGGUCAAUGGGCGGAAGUCUGAACCAGCCAUGCCGCGUGCGGGAAGGAGGCCCUAUGGGCUGUGAACCGCUUUUGCCUGGGGGCAAUAAGGGCGUCGCGCACGUCCGAUGAGAGUACCAGGCGAAUAAGCAUCGGCUAACUCCGUG